This 209-nucleotide ribosomal RNA is filed under the name Candidatus Pelagibacterales bacterium. RNAcentral describes it as "partial 23S ribosomal RNA". It matches the Rfam family "Bacterial large subunit ribosomal RNA", at positions 2704 to 2925 of the family's 2925-position model. The record is from RNAcentral. Lineage: Bacteria; Pseudomonadati; Pseudomonadota; Alphaproteobacteria; Candidatus Pelagibacterales.
UACCUCUGGUGUACCGGUUGUGACGCCAGUCGCAUCGCCGGGUAGCUAAGUACGGACGGGAUAACCGCUGAAAGCAUCUAAGCGGGAAGCCUCCCUCAAAACUAGGUAUCCCUUGAGAGUCGUGGAAGACUACCACGUUGAUAGGCCAGGUGUGGAAGUAUAGUAAUAUAUGAAGCUAACUGGUACUAAUAACUCGAUCGGCUUGAAAU